Molecule: unclassified non-coding RNA, 346 nt
Filed under: Hevea brasiliensis (rubber tree)
Lineage: Eukaryota; Viridiplantae; Streptophyta; Magnoliopsida; Malpighiales; Euphorbiaceae
Source: RNAcentral
GGGUUAAAUAGGUUGAACUGGCUUAUAUGAGUAUUUUGUGGCCAACACAUCCUCAACUUAGAACAUUUACAAAACUAUUAUUAUAUAUCAAUUCAUAUGUUGUUUAUUUGAUUCUUUAGUAUCUUUAAUGUGUUAAUGCACAUGAUUUUAUAGAUUUUAUGACAUAAAUCAUACAUUCAAAAAUAUGGAAGAAGUACAAUAAAUGUGAAUUAUUUUUGAAGAAUUUCUGUAAGCAUUGGUGUAAGAAUAUGAGACUUCCUUGGGUGCGCUGAUUAAGUUUUUAGAACUUAAAAUGCUCAACUUAAUUUUUCUAUUAUUCUUUCAGAUUCGGACAUUAGGAAUGUUG